GACGAACCGUGCGAACGUUAUUCGGAAUCACUGGGCUUAAAGCGCGUGUAGGCGGGACGGCACGUCGGUCGCUGAAAGCCCCCGGCUCAACCGGGGAACGGGCGCCGAUACGACCGUCCUGGAGGGACGUAGGGGGACCUGGAACUUCCGGUGGAGCGGUGAAAUGCGUUGAGAUCGGAAGGAACGCCCGUGGCGAAAGCGAGGUCCUGGACGUUUUCUGACGCUGAGACGCGAAAGCCAGGGGAACGAACGGG
This 254-nucleotide ribosomal RNA is filed under the name uncultured bacterium. RNAcentral's name for it is "partial 16S ribosomal RNA". It matches the Rfam family "Bacterial small subunit ribosomal RNA", at positions 524 to 776 of the family's 1533-position model. The record is from RNAcentral.